AUUGAACGCUGGCGGCAGGCCUAACACAUGCAAGUCGAGCGGUAGCACAGAGAGCUUGCUCUCGGGUGACGAGCGGCGGACGGGUGAGUAAUGUCUGGGAAACUGCCUGAUGGAGGGGGAUAACUACUGAAACGGUAGCUAAUACCGCAUAACGUCGCAAGACCAAAGUGGGGGACCUUCGGGCCUCAUGCCAUCAGAUGCGCCCACAGGGGGUUAGCUAGUAGGUGGGGUAACGGCUCACCUAGGCGACGAUCCCUAGCUGGGCUGAGAGGAUGAACAGCCACACUGGAACUGAGACACGGUCCAGACUCCUACGGGAGGCAGCAGUGGGGAAUAUUGCACAAUGGGCGCAAGCCUGAUGCAGCCAUGCCGCGUGUGUGAAGAAGGCCUUCGGGUUGUAAAGCACUUUCAGCGGGGAGGAAGGCGAUAAGGUUAAUAACCUUGUCGAUUGACGUUACCCGCAGAAGAAGCACCGGCUAACUCCGUGCCAGCAGCCGCCGCGG
Molecule: ribosomal RNA, 503 nt
Filed under: uncultured bacterium
Lineage: Bacteria
Description: partial 16S ribosomal RNA
Rfam family: Bacterial small subunit ribosomal RNA
Source: RNAcentral